GAUGAACGCUGGCGGCGUGCCUAAUACAUGCAAGUCGAGCGAACGGACGAGAAGCUUGCUUCUCUGAUGUUAGCGGCGGACGGGUGAGUAACACGUGGAUAACCUACCUAUAAGACUGGGAUAACUUCGGGAAACCGUAGCUAAUACCGGAUAAUAUUUUGAACCGCAUGGUUCAAAAGUGAAAGACGGUCUUGCUGUCACUUAUAGAUGGAUCCGCGCUGCAUUAGCUAGUUGGUAAGGUAACGGCUUACCAAGGCAACGAUGCAUAGCCGACCUGAGAGGGUGAUCGGCCACCUUGGAACUGAGACACGGUCCAGACUCCUACGAGAGGCAGCAGUAGGGAAUCUUCCGCAAUGGGCGAAAGCAUGACGGAGCAACGCCGCGUGAGUGAUGAAGGUCUUCGGAUCGUAAAACUCUGUUAUUAGGGAAGAACAUAUGUGUAAGUAACUGUGCACAUCUUGACGGUACCUAAUCAGAAAGCCACGGCUAACUACGUG
Molecule: ribosomal RNA, 497 nt
Filed under: uncultured bacterium
Lineage: Bacteria
Description: partial 16S ribosomal RNA
Rfam family: Bacterial small subunit ribosomal RNA
Source: RNAcentral